GGGCUCGCAGGCGGUUUCUUAAGUCUGAUGUGAAAGCCCCCGGCUCAACCGGGGAGGGUCAUUGGAAACUGGGAAACUUGAGUGCAGAAGAGGAGAGUGGAAUUCCACGUGUAGCGGUGAAAUGCGUAGAGAUGUGGAGGAACACCAGUGGCGAAGGCGACUCUCUGGUCUGUAACUGACGCUGAGGAGCGAAAGCGUGGGGAGCGAACAGGAUUAGAUACCCUGGUAGUCCACGCCGUAAACGAUGAGUGCUAAGUGUUAGGGGGUUUCCGCCCCUUAGUGCUGCAGCUAACGCAUUAAGCACUCCGCCUGGG
This 314-nucleotide ribosomal RNA is filed under the name Bacillus sp. (in: firmicutes). RNAcentral's name for it is "bacterial SSU rRNA". It matches the Rfam family "Bacterial small subunit ribosomal RNA", at positions 565 to 877 of the family's 1533-position model. The record is from RNAcentral. Lineage: Bacteria; Bacillati; Bacillota; Bacilli; Caryophanales; Bacillaceae.